GGGCCUAUAGCUCAGUUGGUUAGAGCACUUGACUCAUAAUCAAGGGGUCCCUGGUUCGAGCCCAGGUGGGCCCACCA
This 77-nucleotide transfer RNA is filed under the name Bacteroidota bacterium. Its description in RNAcentral is "tRNA-Ile". It matches the Rfam family "tRNA". From Rfam's summary of the family: Transfer RNA (tRNA) molecules are approximately 80 nucleotides in length. Their secondary structure includes four short double-helical elements and three loops (D, anti-codon, and T loops). RNAcentral also lists the same sequence under 1 other name. The record is from RNAcentral. Lineage: Bacteria; Pseudomonadati; Bacteroidota.